RNAcentral lists this long non-coding RNA (327 nucleotides) under Hordeum vulgare. RNAcentral's name for it is "long non-coding RNA (HVUL_LNC020635)". The record is from RNAcentral. Lineage: Eukaryota; Viridiplantae; Streptophyta; Magnoliopsida; Poales; Poaceae.
UGGUCUAUUGCUUACGGACGGAAAAGUGCAGCAGCAUCUCAUGGGGUUUUGAUCCCCACACAUGGACUGGGGCAAGCCACCAUGGUAUGGAGGUAAUUGAUAGUGGUUUGACGCACCGAAACUGGGGACAGGGGCCUGUGUGGGUCUCCAUAUGGUAUCAGUGGUGCUGAGUGUGGAAGAUAUGCUCACACUGCUACUUUGUUUGUGAUCUCCAUCAUCUUCCAGGCACUCUGAGACCCAACUAAUGAUGUCUGGUUGGUCUGUAACAAAGCAUGAAUCUAGUACUCGGGCAUCAGAUGUAGAGCCAAGUGCAGAGCAUGAAUCUUG